This 253-nucleotide ribosomal RNA is filed under the name uncultured bacterium. Its description in RNAcentral is "partial 16S ribosomal RNA". It matches the Rfam family "Bacterial small subunit ribosomal RNA", at positions 524 to 776 of the family's 1533-position model. The record is from RNAcentral.
UACGAAGGGGGCUAGCGUUGUUCGGAAUCACUGGGCGUAAAGCGCACGCAGGCGGAUUGAUAAGUCGGGGGUGAAAUCCCUCGGCUUAACCGGGGAACUGCGUCUGAUACUGGAUGGCUUGAGUUCGGGAGAGGGAUGCGGAAUUCCAGGUGUAGCGGUGAAAUGCGUAGAUAUCUGGAGGAACACCGGUGGCGAAGGCGGCAUCCUGGACCGAUACUGACGCUGAGGAGCGAAAGCCAGGGGAGCAAACGGG